UGUGGAAGUGCGGCAACGCAUGUAGCUGACCAGUACUAAUAGCUCAAUUGGCUUGAUUUAUG
RNAcentral lists this ribosomal RNA (62 nucleotides) under Legionellales bacterium. Its description in RNAcentral is "partial 23S ribosomal RNA". The record is from RNAcentral. Lineage: Bacteria; Pseudomonadati; Pseudomonadota; Gammaproteobacteria; Legionellales.